GACGAACGCUGGCGGCGUGCUUAACACAUGCAAGUCGAACGGUGAAGCGCCUUCCUUUUUGGUGGGUGUGGAUGAGUGGCGAACGGGUGAGUAACACGUGAGUAACCUGCCCCCUUCUUCUGGAUAACCGCAUGAAAGUGUGGCUAAUACGGGAUAUUCUGGGUCUGUCGCAUGAUGGGUCUGGGAAAGAUAUUGUUUCGGUGGGGGAUGGGCUCGCGGCCUAUCAGCUUGUUGGUGGGGUGGUGGCCUACCAAGGCGGUGACGGGUAGCCGGCCUGAGAGGGUGGACGGUCACACUGGGACUGAGACACGGCCCAGACUCCUACGGGAGGCAGCAGUGGGGAAUAGUGCACAAUGGGCGCAAGCCUGAUGCAGCGACGCCGCGUGAGGGAUGGAGGCCUUCGGGUUGUGAACCUCUUUCGCCAGUGAAGCAGGCCUGCCUCGUUUGUGGGUGGGUUGACGGUAGCUGGAUAAGAAGCGCCGGCUAACUACGUG
This 494-nucleotide ribosomal RNA is filed under the name uncultured bacterium. Its description in RNAcentral is "partial 16S ribosomal RNA". It matches the Rfam family "Bacterial small subunit ribosomal RNA", at positions 28 to 507 of the family's 1533-position model. The record is from RNAcentral.